AUUGAACGCUGGCGGCAUGCCUUACACAUGCAAGUCGAACGGCAGCACGGGAGCAAUCCUGGUGGCGAGUGGCGAACGGGUGAGUAAUAUAUCGGAACGUGCCCGGUCGUGGGGAUAACGUAGCGAAAGCUACGCUAAUACCGCAUACGAUCUACGGAUGAAAGCGGGGGAUCGCAAGACCUCGCGCGAUUGGAGCGGCCGAUAUCAGAUUAGGUAGUUGGUGAGGUAAAGGCUCACCAAGCCGACGAUCUGUAGCUGGUCUGAGAGGACGACCAGCCACACUGGGACUGAGACACGGCCCAGACUCCUACGGGAGGCAGCAGUGGGGAAUAUUGGACAAUGGGCGAAGCCUGAUCCAGCAAUGCGCGUGAGUGAUGAAGGCCUUAGGUGUAAACUGCUUUUGUACGGUAACGAAACGGUGAGCUCUAAUACAGUUUG
RNAcentral lists this ribosomal RNA (438 nucleotides) under uncultured bacterium. RNAcentral's name for it is "bacterial SSU rRNA". It matches the Rfam family "Bacterial small subunit ribosomal RNA", at positions 30 to 471 of the family's 1533-position model. The record is from RNAcentral.